This is a long non-coding RNA of Capsicum annuum, 1201 nucleotides long. RefSeq lists it as uncharacterized. NCBI's taxonomy places the organism in Eukaryota, Viridiplantae, Streptophyta, Magnoliopsida, Solanales, Solanaceae. The record is from RefSeq and is a predicted model, not a curated record. The transcript is spliced from 2 exons.
CCUUGAGCCAGGGGUCUAUCGGAAACAGCCUUUCUACUUCUUUAGAGGUAGAGGUAUGGACUGCGUACAUCUUACCCCCCAGACCCCACUAGAUGGGAAUACACUGGGUUUGUUGUUGUUGUGUUGCAAAUGUUUUGACAGACUUUGUGUAAGAUGAGUGUCCAUUGAAAAAUCCUCUCCUUGUCUCUUAGAGUUACGGGUUAAGUUACGUGCACUCAAUACUGUUGUUUGAUAUACUAUUGAGUAUAAGAAGUAGUGGCAGAGUGCUCUAGCUUAACCAAUUUUUUGCAGGAUAUCUAUUGAAAGGAACAGGUAAAGCAUAGGUCCCACAUUAUAACACUGGGUUUGUUGUUGUUGUUGUGACACUUUAGUAUAUGAUAUUCAUUCAAAGGAAUAGGUAAAUCAUAGCGUAUGUGGCAGAUUUGGUUUGGUUGUUCUCUGAUGAAGUUUUUGUCUUUCCUUUUAAAUUUAGUGCUCUGGCAUUAAGACUACUUAGGUUCGCGACUAUGGUGGUUGUUUAUAAAGAGAUAUGAUGACUUAUAAAUACCAAUUUGGUAGUUUACCAUUCUAAAAAAUAAGAUAGGUAGGUAUGUAAAUCUAGCAAAUGGUAAAUUUUGACAAGCUAUAUGCCAUGUCUAGUGACAAGCUAUAUACCAUGUCUGGUGCAAAGCUUCCUCUCAUACAAGAUGUUUAUUUAGUCUCUAAAUAUGUGAUAAACUUAAAUAAAUAAACCAUGAAAAUAAAAUUUCAUGUGUACCCUCCAAAUUUUUUUAUUGUUCUUUUAUGUUUUUGCAUCAGCGAGAAAAUUUUUGUUGCAUUACAAAUUCAAAUAAAAAUUAUAAAAUAUUGUAUUGGAGACACUUGUUGAUCGUUAAUGAUAUUUUAAGGACAUUUGUUGCAUCAAAUGUUGAUCUCUUAUUCUGAUUGCUUCUUACUUAUUAUUGAUCCUUUACAUUUUCUUGAAUGCACAACCUGGUCAUUUUCAAGGGCACACAUUCGACAUUGUAUCGGUCUUCCAGGUGUCCAAAAUGGAGAAGGAGAUGAAGAAAGAAGUGAUGAAGAAAUUGACCUUACUUGAGAAUAUUUUUGAAUAGUUGAUAGAUGCUUUGAUUUUGAUCUUUUUGAUAUUUAACUUAGUGUAACUUAUCGCCACUCGAACAUGAUACUAUAUGGAAAAACUAAUGAUCAUUUGACUUUAACA